AUACCCGGUCCCAUUUCGAACCCGGUCGUUAAGCUUCUCAGCGCCGAUGGUACUGCCCUGUUGGGUGGGAGAGUAGGUCGCCGCCGAAC
This 89-nucleotide ribosomal RNA is filed under the name Marinitenerispora sediminis. Lineage: Bacteria; Bacillati; Actinomycetota; Actinomycetes; Streptosporangiales; Nocardiopsidaceae. The record is from RNAcentral.